This 1172-nucleotide long non-coding RNA is filed under the name Macaca mulatta (Rhesus monkey). Its description in RNAcentral is "lncRNA (ENSMMUG00000055980.1)". Lineage: Eukaryota; Metazoa; Chordata; Mammalia; Primates; Cercopithecidae. The record is from RNAcentral.
UGAUGAUGUUGCCCAAUUGCAGAGUCAGGUAACUGGGCCUGGGAGCAGCCCCUGGCAGGCACUGAGUGGAUCAAGGUAACAGCAGCAAGAAGGGGUGUGCAGGGUUUGCCUGCUGCUCCAGCGACAGCCAGCAUUGCCAUGUGACAGCCCAGUCAGAGGAGUUGGUGAUAUGGGCAGUGGGUGCCAUUAUCGGCAGGGUCUGGGAUACAAUCCCUCUGAGUGUACAUCAUGUGAAAAGCACGGGCAUCAGUGAUUUCCCUGACCCUUCAAUGCUAUGAAGUACCCACCAUAGAAACUGGGGUCUGCGGUCACCUGGAUCGAAAUCUGCCUCUGAAAUUGAACGGCUCCAUUCAAUCAAGUUCUGAAAAGAGGCAACUGAAGCAGAGACAGAGUCUACUUCAAGAACUUGCUCUGAUUACAGAAUCUGGUCAAUGGCUCUACCCAGAGCUCUUAAUAAAAGAUGCCAGAUUGAGGUCCAAGCUGAUGUUCUGCUGAUUUUUAUCCCAAAGUAAACAUCGCCAUGGUAAAUGGCAUUGUAAUGGACAGUUGCAGGUUAAGCUGAAUGUUUUUAAAGAAAAUUCUUCUUGGCUCUGUAGAAGAGCCAAAUAUUUGUUUACUUGUCCCUAAAAUUACACAUGCUGGCUGAAUAGGGUGGAUAAAAAUGGCUAGAGGCUUUCUAAUAGGUGUAAAAGUAAUAAGUGUAAAUUUUUGCCUCAAAUACUUCUUAGUAGUGUGGUCUGACUUAGUACUGUAGUCUGAAUUUUUGCCUCAAAUACUUCUUAGUACUGUAGGGCUUUCUCAGAUUUUGGUUGAGGAAUCACUGUGGUGCUUGUUAAAAUGCAGAUGACCGUAUCCCACCUCAUGUCUAUGCAAUGACUCUCUGGGAGUGGGAUUGAGAAUCUGUGUUUUAACGAGAACUCUACUGAUCAUUAAGAACAGCGAGCUUAGGGGGUGGGGGAGAUGGUCAAAGAAUACAACAUUUUCAGUUAGGUAGAAGGAAUAUGUUCAAGAGAUCUAUCAUAUGACAUGGUGACUAUAGUCAACAACAAUGUAUUGUGUUUUUGAAUAUUGUAAGAGAAUAGAUGUCCAGUGUUCUCACCAGAAAAAUAACUGUGUGAGGUAGUGCAUAUGUUAGUGAGUUAUAUUUAGUCGGUCUACAAUGUAUAUAUACC